RNAcentral lists this ribosomal RNA (252 nucleotides) under uncultured bacterium. RNAcentral's name for it is "partial 16S ribosomal RNA". It matches the Rfam family "Bacterial small subunit ribosomal RNA", at positions 524 to 775 of the family's 1533-position model. The record is from RNAcentral.
UACGUAGGUGGCAAGCGUUGUCCGGAAUUAUUGGGCGUAAAGGGCGCGCAGGUGGUGGGCUAAGUCUGUCGUGAAAUCUCCCGGCUCAACUGGGAGGCUGCGGUGGAGACUGGUGCACUGGAGGGACCUAGAGGCCGGUGGAAUUCCCGGUGUAGUGGUGAAAUGCGUAGAGAUCGGGAGGAACACCAGUGGCGAAGGCGGCCGGCUGGGGGUACCCUGACGCUGAGGCGCGAAAGCGUGGGGAGCGAACCG